RNAcentral lists this long non-coding RNA (39247 nucleotides) under Brassica napus (rape). Its description in RNAcentral is "long non-coding RNA (BNAP_LNC001298)". The record is from RNAcentral. Lineage: Eukaryota; Viridiplantae; Streptophyta; Magnoliopsida; Brassicales; Brassicaceae.
UAUUUUUAUAGAGAAAUAUUGUAGAUUUGGGAUUGUCAUUUAGAAAUUAGGAUAACAAGAAUUUUUUUAUGAAAGAGAAGUAUUCUUUUAGAAUUUUUGAUCAAUAGGAUGUAUUUUUAAAAUAAUUUUCUAAAAACUGCUAUUUAAGGAUAGUUUUCAUUUGUAUAGAGAAAUAUUGUAGAUUUGGGUUUGUGGUUUAGAAAUUAGGAUAACAAGAAUUUUUGUUGCAAGAUGAGUAUUCUUUUAGAAUUUUUGAUCAAUAGGAUGUAUUUUUAAAAUAAUUUUCUAAAAGCUGCUAUUUAAGGAAAGUUUUUAUUUUUAUAGUGAAAUAUUGUAGAUUUGGGAUUGUUAUUUAGAAAUUAGGAUAACAAGAAUUUUUUAUGAAAGAUGAGUAUUCUUUUAGAAUUUUUGAUCAAUAUGAUGUAUUUUUAAAUAAUUUUUUAAAAGCUGCUAUUUAAGGAAAGUUUUCACUUGUAUAGAGAAAUAUUGUAGAUUUGGGAUUGUGGUAUAGAAAUUAGGAUAACAAAAAAUUUUGUUGAAAGAUGAGUAUUCUUUUAGAAUUUUUGAUCAAUAUGAUGUAUUUUUAAAUAAUUUUUUAAAAGCUGCUAUUUAAGGAAAGUUUUCAUUUUUAUAGAGAAAUAUUGUAGAUUUGGGAUUGUGGUUUAGAAAUUAGGAUAACAAGAUUUUUUGUUGAAAGAUGAGUAUUUGUUUUAGAAUAUUUGAUCAAUAUGAUGUAUUUUAAAAAUAAUUUUCUAAAAGCUGCUAUUUAAGGAAAGUUUUCACUUGUAUAAAGAAAUAUUGUAGAUUUGGGAUUGUCAUUUAGAAAUUAAGAUAACAAGAAUUUUUUAUGAAAGAUGAGUAUUUUUCUAGAAUUUUUGAUCAAUAGGAUAUAUUUUUUAAAUAAUUUUCUAAAAGUUGCUAUUUAAGGAAAUUUUUCAUUUUUAUAGAGAAAUAUUGUAGAUUUGGGAUUGUGGUUUAGAAAUUAGGAUAACAAGAUUUUUUGUUGAAAGAUGAGUAUUUGUUUUAGAAUAUUUGAUCAAUAUGAUGUAUUUUAAAAAUAAUUUUCUAAAAGCUGCUAUUUAAGGAAAGUUUUCACUUGUAUAAAGAAAUAUUGUAGAUUUGGGAUUGUCAUUUAGAAAUUAAGAUAACAAGAAUUUUUUAUGAAAGAUGAGUAUUUUUUUAGAAUUUUUGAUCAAUAGGAUGUAUUUUUAAAAUAAUUUUCUAAAAACUGCUAUUUAAGGAUAGUUUUCAUUUGUAUAGAGAAAUAUUGUAGAUUUGGGUUUGUGGUUUAGAAAUUAGGAUAACAAGAAUUUUUGUUGCAAUAUGAGUAUUCUUUUAGAAUUUUUGAUCAAUAGGAUGUAUUUUUAAAAUAAUUUUCUAAAAGCUGCUAUUUAAGGAAAAUUUUUAUUUUUAUAGUGUAAUAUUGUAGAUUUGGGAUUGUCAUUAAGAAAUUAGGAUAACAAGAAUUUUUUUAUGAAAGAUGAGUAUUCUCUUAGAAUUUUUGAUCAAUAUGAUGUAUUUUUUAAAUAAUUUUCUAAAAGCUGCUAAUUAAGGAAAGUUUUUAUUUUUAUAGAGAAAUAUUGUAGAUUUGGGAUUUUGAUUUAGAAAUUGGGAUAAAUAGAGUUUUUGUUGUUAGAUGUGUAUUCUUUUAGAAUUUUUGAUCAAUAUGAUGUAUUUUUAAAAUAAUUUUCUAAAAACUGCUAUUUAAGGAUAGUUUUCAAUUGUAUAGAGAAAUAUUGUAGAUUUGGGAUUGUGGUUUAGAAAUUAGGAUAACAAGAAUUUUUGUUGAAAGAUGAGUAUUCUCUUAGAAUAUUUGAUCAAUAGGAUGUAUUUUUAAAAUAAUUUUCUAAAGGCUGCUAUUAUAGGAAAGUUUUCAUUUUUAUAGAGAAAUAUUGUAGAUUUGGGAUUGUCAUUUAGAAAUUAGGAUAACAAGAAUUUUUUUUAUGAAAGAUGAGUAUUCUUUUAGAAUAUUUGAUCAAUAGGAUGUAUUUUUUAAAUUAUUUUCUAAAAGCUGCUAUUUAAGGAAAGUUUUCAUUUUUAUAGAGAAAUAUAGUAGAUUUGGGAUUGUGAUUAAGAAAUUAGGAUAACAAGAAUUUUUGUUGAAAGAUGAGUAUUCUUUUUGAAUUUUUGAACAGUAGGAUGUAUUUUUUAAAUAAUUUUCUAAAAGCUGCCAUUUAAGGAUAGUUUUCAUUUGUAUAGAGAAAUAUUGUAGAUUUGGGAUUGUUAUUUAGAAAUUAGGAUAACAAGAAUUUUUUAUGAAAGAUGAGUAUUUUUCUAGAAUUUUUGAUCAAUAGGAUAUAUUUUUUAAAUAAUUUUCUAAAAGUUGCUAUUUAAGGAAAUUUUUCAUUUUUAUAGAGAAAUAUUGUAGAUUUGGUAUUUUCUUUCAGAAAUUAGGAUAACAAGAAUUUUUGUUGAAAGACGAGUAUUCUCUUAGAAUUUUUGAUCAGUAGGAUGUAUUUUUUAAAUAAUUUUCUAAAAGCUGCUAUUUAAGGAAAGUUUUUAUUUUAUAGAGAAAUAUUGUAGAUUUGAGAUUGUCAUUUAGAAAUUAGGAUAAAUAGAGUUUUUGUUGUUAGAUGCGUAUUCUUUUAGAAUUUUUAAUCAAUAGGAUGUAUUUUUAAAAUAAUUUUCUAAAAGCUGCUAUUUAAGGAAAGUUUUUAUUUUUAAAGAGAAAUAUUGUAGAUUUGGGAUUGUCAUUUAGAAAUUAGGAUAAAUAUAGUUUUUGUUGUUAGAUGCGUAUUCUUUUAGAAUUUUUUAUCAAGAGGAUGUAUUUUUAAAAUAAUUUUCUAAAAGCUGCUAUUUAAGGAAAGUUUUUAUUUUUAUAAAGAAAUAUUGUAGAUUUGGGAUUUUGAUUUAGAAAUUGGGAUAAAUAGAGUUUUUGUUGUUAGAUGCGUAUUCUUUUAGAAUUUUUGAUCAAUAGGAUGUAUUUCUUAAAUAAUUUUCUAAAAGCUGCUAUUUAAGGAAAGUUUUCAUUUUUAUAGAGAAAUAUUGUAGAUUUGGGAUUGUGGUUUAGAAAUUAGGAUAACAAGAAUUUUUUUGAAAGAUGAGUAUUCUUUUAGAAUUUUUUAUCAAUAGGAUGUAUUUUUAAAAGUAUUUUCUAAAAGCUGCUAUUUAAGGAUAGUUUUCAUUUGUAUAGCGAAAUAUUGCAGAUUUGGGAUUGUGGUUUAGAAAUUAGGAUAACAAGAAUUUUUGUUGAAAGAUGAGUAUUCUUUUUGAAUUUUUGAACAGUAGGAUGUAUUUUUUAAAUAAUUUUCUAAAAGCUGCUAUUUAAGGAAAGUUUUUAUUUUAUAGAGAAAUAUUGUAGAUUUGAGAUUGUCAUUUAGAAAUUAGGAUAAAUAGAGUUUUUGUUGUUAGAUGCGUAUUCUUUUAGAAUUUUUAAUCAAUAGGAUGUAUUUUUAAAAUAAUUUUCUAAAAGCUGCUAUUUAAGGAAAGUUUUUAUUUUUAAAGAGAAAUAUUGUAGAUUUGGGAUUGUCAUUUAGAAAUUAGGAUAAAUAUAGUUUUUGUUGUUAGAUGCGUAUUCUUUUAGAAUUUUUUAUCAAGAGGAUGUAUUUUUAAAAUAAUUUUCUAAAAGCUGCUAUUUAAGGAAAGUUUUUAUUUUUAUAAAGAAAUAUUGUAGAUUUGGGAUUUUGAUUUAGAAAUUGGGAUAAAUAGAGUUUUUGUUGUUAGAUGCGUAUUCUUUUAGAAUUUUUGAUCAAUAGGAUGUAUUUCUUAAAUAAUUUUCUAAAAGCUGCUAUUUAAGGAAAGUUUUCAUUUUUAUAGAGAAAUAUUGUAGAUUUGGGAUUGUGGUUUAGAAAUUAGGAUAACAAGAAUUUUUUUGAAAGAUGAGUAUUCUUUUAGAAUUUUUUAUCAAUAGGAUGUAUUUUUAAAAGUAUUUUCUAAAAGCUGCUAUUUAAGGAUAGUUUUCAUUUGUAUAGCGAAAUAUUGCAGAUUUGGGAUUGUGGUUUAGAAAUUAGGAUAACAAGAAUUUUUGUUGAAAGAUGAGUUUUCUUUUAGAAUUUUUGAUCAGUAUGAUGAUCAAAAACAUACUCAUCUUUUAACAAAAACAAGAUUUUUCACCCGCACAUCCGUGCGGGUAAAUUUUUAUUUUAUAAAUAUAUAACAGAUACUAUCGCAAAAUUUUCAAAGAUAUAAUUUACAUUUUAGUGUUAUAUAAUAUGUAAAUCUAUAAUAUUAUUGGUUAUGUUUCUUUUUCGAUAUUAUUAAUGUAUAACGAUUUGUUUUAUACAUUUUACUUUAUUAUUAAUUGUUAUUAUAUAUAAAUAUAUUUUCGAGUUUGGUAUAAUAAAUUCAUAGUAUGAAAUAAACAAAUUGAGAAUCUCCUUCAUUUUUUUCUAAUUUUACAGACUGAAUACAAUAAAUUUUAAAAUUUUAUUUAGUUAUACUAUAAAACUGAUAUUUUCUUAGCAUAAUUUAUAUUUCUAUGUUAUUUAUUAUAAUAUAUUUUGGGAUUUGAUAAGUAAUAGAUUAUAAUAAUAAUAUAUUAUUAAUUAUGAAAUCAAUCGUUGCAUUAAUUUAAAAAUAUUUUAAAAUUUUAUUAAGAUUUUUUUUUUUGACAACAAUUUUAUUAAGAUUUUGUUAGAUUUUUUCCAACAUAUUUUGCUAUAAGUAAAAAUAAAAUUUAAAUUGACAGUUAAAAUUUAUUUAUUAAUAUCUAUAUAAUGUAUUAAUAUCUUUAUAUAUUUAAAAGAUUAAUAUAAAUAAUUAAAUAAAUAUAAUAAAUGAAAUGAACCUAAUAAUGCUAGUAUGACUUUUUUAUGGCAGAUAAAAAUGGUACUUCUCUUUUAAUAGAGAAGAUUCUUAUUAUCUUAUUUUCUAAAUGACAAUCCCAAAUCUAUAAUAUUUCUUUUUAAUAAUGAAAACUCUGUUUAAAUAGCAACUUUUAGAAAAUUAUUCAAAAAUACAUCCUAUUAAUCAAAAAAAUCUAAGAGAAUACUCAUCUUUCGACAAAUAUUUUUUUUAUCCUAAUUUCUAAAAGACAAUCUCAAAUUUACAAUAUUUCUCGAUAAAUAUGAAAACUUUCCUUAAUUAGCAGCUUUUAAAAAAUUAUUUAAAAAUAUAUCAUGUUGAUCAAAAUUCUAAAAGAAUAUUCAUCUUUCAACAAAAAUUCUUGUUAUCCUAAUUUCUAAAUCAUAAUCUCAAAUCUACAAUAUUUUUCUAUAAAAAUAAAAACUUUCCUUAAAUAGCUGCUUUUAGAAAAUUAUUUAAAAAAUAUAUCCUAUUGAUCAAAAAUUCUAAAAGAAUACUCAUCUUCCAACAAAAAUUCUUGUUAUCCUAAUUUUCAAAUGACAAUCUCAAAUCUACAAUAUUUCUCUAUAAUAAUGAAAACUUUCCUUAAAUACCAGCUUUUAGAAAAUUAUUUUAAAAAUACAUCAUAUUGAUCAAAAAUUCUUUAAGAAUACUCAUCUUUCAACAAAAGUUCUUGUUAUCCUAAUUUCUAAAUGACAAUCCUAAAUCUACAAUAUUUCUCUAUAAUAAUGAAAACUUUCCUUAAAUAGCAUCAAUUAGAAAAGUAUUUUAAAAAUACAUCCUAUUGAUCAAAAAUUCUAAAAGAAUACUCAUCUUUUAACAAAAAUUCUUGUUAUCCUAAUUUCCAAAUGACAAUCUCAAAUCUACAAUAUUUCUCUAUAAUAAUGAAAAUUUUCCUUAAAUAGCAGCUUUUAGAAAAUUAUUUUAAAAAUACAUCCUAUUGAUCAAAAAAUCUUCAAGAAUACUCAUCUUUCAACAAAAAUUCUUGUUAUCUUAUUUUCUUAAUGACAAUCCCAAAUCUGUAAUAUUUCUUUUUAAUAAUGACAACUCUGUUUAAAUAGCAACUUUUAGAAAAUUAUUUAAAAAUACAUCCUAUUAAUCAAAAAAAUCUAAGAGAAUACUCAUCUUUCAACAAAUAUUUUAUUUAUCCUAAUUUCUAAAUGACAAUCUCAAAUUUACAAUAUUUCUCGAUAAAUAUGAAAACUUUCCUUAAUUAGCAGCUUUUAAAAAAUUAUUUAAAAAUAUAUCCUAUUAAUCAAAAUUCUAAAAGAAUACUCAUCUUUCAACAAAAAUUCUUGUUAUCCUAAUUUCUAAAUCAUAAUCUCAAAUCUACAAUAUAUUUCUAUAAAAAUGAAAACUUUCCUUAAAUAGCUGCUUUUAGAAAAUUAUUUAAAAAAUAUAUUCUAUUGAUCAAAAAUUCUAAAAAAAUAUUCAUCUUUAAAAAAAAUUCUUGUUAUACCAAUUUCUAAAUCAAAAUCCCAAAUCUACAACAUUUCUCUAUAAAAAUGAAAACUUUCCUUAAAUAGCAGGUUUUAGAAAAUUAUUUAAAAAAUACACCCUAUUGAUCAAAAAUUCUAAAAUAAUACUCAUCUUUCAACAAAAAUUCUUGAUAUCCUAAUUUGUAAAUCACAAUCCCAAAUCAACAAUAUUUCUCUAUAAAAAUGAAAACUUUCCUUAUAUUGCUGUUUUUAGAAAAUUAUUUAAAAAUAUAUUAUAUAGAUCAGAAAUUCUAAAAGAAUACACAUCUAACAACAAAAACACUAUUUAUCCCAAUUUCUAAAUUAAAAUCCCUAAUCUACAACAUUUCUCUAAUAAAAGUGAAAACUUUCCUUAAAUAACAGGUUUUAGAAAAUUAUUUUAAAAAUACAUCCUAUUGAUUAAAAACACUAAAAGAAUACUCAACUUUCAACAAAGCUUCUUGUUAUCUUAAUUUCUAAAUCAUAAUCCCAAAUCUACAAUUUUUCUCUAUAAAAAUGAAAAUUUUCUUUAAAUUGCAGGUUUUAGAAAAUUAUUUAAAAAAUACAUCCUAUUGAUCAAAAAUUAUAAAAUAAUACUCAUCUUUUAACAAAAAUUCUAGUUAUCUUAUUUUCUAAAUCAUAAUCUCAAAUCUACAAUAUUUCUCUAUAAAAUGAAAACUUUCCUUAAAUUGAUGCUUUUAGAAAAUUAUUUACAAAAUAUAUCCUCUUGAUCAAAAAUUCUGAAAAAAUACACAUCUAACAACGAAAACACAAUUUAUCCCAAUUUCAAAAUCAAAAUCUACAACAUUUCUAUAUAAAAAUGAAAACUUUCCUUAAAUAGCAGCUUUUAGAAAAUUAUUUUAAAAAUACAUCCUAUUGAUCAAAAAUUCUAAAAUAAAACUCAUCUUUCAACAAAAAUUCUUGUUAUCCUAAUUUCUAAAUCACAAUCCGAAAUCUACAAUAUUUUUCUAUAAAAAUGAAAACUUUCUUUAAAUAGCAGCUUUUAGAAAAUUAUUUUUAAAAUACAUCUAUUGAUCAAAAAUUCUAAAAUAAAACUCAUCUUUCAACAAAAAUUCUUGUUAUCCUAAUUUCUAAAUCACAAUCUCAAAUCUACAAUAUCUCUCUAUAAAAAUGAAAACUUUCCUUAAAUUGCUGCUUUUAGAAAAUUAUUUAAAAAAUAUAUCCUAUUGAUAAAAAAUUCUAAAAGAAUACACAUCUAACAAUAAAAACAAUAUUUAUCCCAAUUUCUAAAUCAAAAUCUCAAAUCUACAACAUUUCUCUAUAAAAAUGAAAACUUUCCUUUAAUAGCUGCUUUUAAAAAAUUAUUUAAAAAAUACAUCUUGUUGAUCAAAAAUUUCUAAAAGAAUACUCGUCUUUCAACAAAAUUUUUUGUUAUCUUAAUUUCUAAAUCACAAUCCCAGAUCUACAAUAUUUCUCUAUAAAAAUGAAAACUUUCCUUAAAUAGCAGCUUUUAGAAAAUUAUUUAAAAAAUACAUCAUUUUGAUCAAAAAUUAUAAAAGAAUACUCAUCUUUCAACAAAAAUUCUUGUUAUCCAAUUUCUAAAUGACAAUCCCAAAUUUAUAAUAUAUCUCUAUAAUAAUGAAAACUUUGUUUAAAUAACAACUUUUAGAAAAUUAUUUAAAAAUACAUCCAUUAAUCAAAAAAAUCUAAGAGAAUACUCAUCUUUCAACAAAUAUUUUGUUAUCCUAAUUUCUAAAUGACAAUCUCAAAUCUACAAUAUUUCUCUAUAAAAAUGAAAACUUUCCUUAAUUAACAGCUUUUAAAAAAUUAUUUAAAAAAUAUAUCCUAUUGAUAAAAAAUUGUAAAAGAAUACCCAUCUUUCAAAAAAAAUUCUUGUUAUCAUUAUUUCUAAAUGACAAUCCCAAACUUACAAUAUUUCUCUAUAACAAUGAAAACUUUCCUUAAAUAGCUGCUUUUAGAAAAUUAUUUUAAAAAUAUAUCCUAUUGAUCAAAAAUUCUAAAAGAAUACUCAUCUUUCAAAAAAAAUUCUUGUUAUCCUAAUUUCUAAAUGACAAUCCCAAAUCUACAAUAUUUCUCUAUAAAAAAGAAAACUUUUCUUAAAUAAUAACUUUUAAAAAUUAUUUUAAAAAAUACAUCAUAUUCAUCAAAAUUCUAAAAGAAUACACAUCUAACAACAAAAACUCUAUUUAUCCCAAUUUCUAAAUCAAAAUCCCAAAUCUACAAUAUUUCUCUAUAAAAAUGAAAACUUUCCUUAAUUGGAGUUUUUAUAAAAUUAUUUGAAAAAUACAUCCUAUUGAUCAAAAAUUCUAAAAGAAUACACAUCUAACAACAAAAACACAAUGUGAUUGGACUGUCACGACUUCUUCUCGCAAUAGAUUCUCGAAGUGGAGAUGGUGUCCCUUUGCAACACAGUUAGAGAAAGAAAUAAACUCAGAGAACAUAGACGGUGGCGAUGAGGAGGAGGGAAACAUGGUUCGAGGAGGUGGAGAAAACCAUGGAUCAAUUUCUCAAAAUUUAUCAAAUAAAGGUAAAAGUAAAGAUGUGAAUAUAAUUACGCCACGAGUAAUUUGAAACAGAUAAUAACUAGGAUUUUUUAUUUUUAUUUUCUUCAGGUUUCACCGUUAUUAUUACAUAAAGUAGAAUGGAUGUAUCGAACAUCUAGGGUAUUUGGUUAUUUAGUGAAUUAUGUUUUUUUUUUUCAUAUACAGACCAAUUUCCAAAGUUUAUAUGGCAUAAUCACUUUUCUCCAUACGCUACCAUCGAAACAUUUACCGUUGCCAUCAAAUAGUACAAAAUCAAAAAAAAAAAGAAAAAAAAAUAAAUAGUACAACAUAGUACAAUUCGGGAGUAAAUCUGAUCUCUUAAGGUGGUCUUUUGGUGUAAAGACCAGUGAAACUCCGGGAAAAUGAGUUUUUAAUUCCUCAACUAAUUGAAAUCAGCACUUUUAAUACCCAAUUUUAUGUUGCGCAGAUUUAUUCCUAAAGUAAUGUUUAAUUUUGCAAAAUUGGAGCAAAAAGGAUUAAACGAUGCAAUAGUAAACAGAGACAUUAAAUCUAAAAAGCCAGAAGCAUUAUCAUCAAACUCUAUAGUUGCUUCUUCUUCUUCAUUCCUUAUCUCUUCUUCAACCAUUUUUUGUCUUUUCUGGAUUUAUUAGCUCUUCUUCUUCAAGCACAUUCCUUGUUUCUUUUUCGUUACUUAUCAGUUCAUCACUUCUAGUUGUUUCUUCUUCAGCCAAGAUAAUUAGUUUUCUUCAAGAGAGUUCGUCAUUCCUCUUUCAACAACAUUGCUUCUUUCUUCUUCUUUAGAAACAGUUCUAGAGCCAAAUUAAUGAAAAAGAUUGUAACAAAUAUUAACCAAAUACUACACAACUAAAGUAAUGAAGAAGAUUGAAUUUACCUUUUACUCUCUCUUGAUUUUGGAACUUCAGGUUCGACACAAUUCAAGGGUGUUCUUCGAAUUAGAAGCUUGUUUCGUCUUCCCUCACGCGUAGGGGUGUCAAAAUGGGUCAUGACCUAUGGAUCAACCCAAAUUGACCCAUUAACCCAAAUGAACUAUUUAUUUUUGAUCCAAUGGGUUAAAAGGUUAAUGGAUUAACAAGUUAAUGGGUUAACAAGUUAAUGGAUUUAUUGGGUUGGGUCAACUCUCACCCAUUUUGUUUUCAAUUAAAAAAACCAUGAGUAAACCCAAUUCUAAGGUUUGAUAAAAUUGAAAAAUCAUGAGUUUCUCUAAAAUCCAAUCAUUUAUUCGGUGGUAAAAUGCAUUUCCCGCCAAAACCACAAAAUAUGUUUUUCCGCCAAAACGACAAAACAAGUUUUCCCGCAAAAACUGCAAAACUCGUUUUCCCGCAAAAACGCAAUUUCCCGCCAAAACUGAAAAACCAAUUUUCCCGCAAAAACGCGUUUUCCCACCAAAACCGCAAAAAACGUGUUUUCCCGCCAAAACCGCAAAAUACAUUUUCCCGCCAAAACCGAAAAACACAUUUUCCCGCCAAAACCGCAAAAACGCAUUUUCCCGCCAAAACCGCAAAAACGUGUUUUCCCGCCAAAACCGCAAAAACACAUUUUCCCGCCAAAACCGCAAAACGUAUUUUUCCGCCAAAACCGCAAAAACGCAUUUUCCCGCCAAAACCGCAAAAAUGCAUUUCCCGCCAAAAUCUCAAAAACGCAUUUUCUCGCCAAAACGGCUAAAAACGCAUUUUCCCGCCAAAACCGCAAAAAACGUGUUUUCCCGCCAAAACCGCAAAAAUGCAUUUUCCUGCCAAAACCGCAAAAAACGUGUUUUCCCGCCAAACCCGCAAAAAUGCAUUUUCCUGCCAAAACCGUAAAAACGUAAUUUUCCGCCAAAACUGUAAAAAUCAGUUUUCCCGCAAAACCGCGUUUCCCACCAAAACCGCAAAAACUCGUUUUCCCGCAAAAACACGUUUCCCGCCAAAGCCGCAAAAACACGUUUUUCUGCCAGAACCACUUAACACGUUUUCACGCUAAAACUGGAAAAACUCACUUUCCCGCAAAAAUGCUAUUUUCCGCCUAAACCACAAAAAACAUUUUAUCAUUUUGAUCAACUUGGUCUUAACUUAAAAAUAAUUCAUUAUAAAGAUAUUGGGUUGAUGGGUCAACCAUUAACCCAUCUAACAUAUUUAUGUCAUGGGUCAACCCAACCCAUUUUAAUUAAUGGGUUGGGUUGACCCAUGACCCAUUAAUAGUAAACCCAUUUGGGUUUUGGGUUGGGUUGACCCAUUUGACCUAUUUUGACAUCCCUACUCACGCGUCCCAUGAAAUUUUUCACCAUCUCAUCACCUCAAAUUGUCUUUUUAUUUAAAAAUCUUUCUAGCAAUCGAAGAGAAUUUAGGGUUAUGAGUUUUCAAGGCAAAAAACAAUGGGAUUAAUGUUUUAAACUUAAUGUUUCUGUCAUUAAUUUAUGUUUAAUUUUUUGUAGUUUAAUUUUGUGCAAUAAACAUGAGAAAAAGACUAUGAUAGCACCAAACCAAGUUUAUGUUCCCAAAGUAGUACUCAAGGUUGUCAUUUUUGUGACUUUCUCCUUUUAGUACUAUUUUUGAGACAUAAACUUCAAAAGGUGCUAUUAUUGACAAUUGCCCAAUAAACAUUACUUCAUGAAUAAAUUUGCGCAACUUAAAGUUGGAUAUUAAAAACGCUAAUUUUAAAUAGAUGAUGAAUUAAAAACCCAUUUUCCCGUGAAACUCCCCCAUUUUUGAAGAAAAAGAUCACCAAUUUAGUUUAAUUAAUAAAUAAAAAAUCUAAAAAGCCAUGUUUUUUUUUUCUUUUUCUUAUAAACUAAAUACGAAAAGAUAGCUGUAUGGCCAACCUUCAUCACCUAAGAUUAUUAUCUGCUGAGUUUGACUUUUCUUGAGCUUUGACAAAAGGGAUAUUCUCAACCUCCCUACUCUUUCAGCCAUCGUUCCACACGCGCCUCCUUAGACAUCUCACGCGCCGCGGUGCCAUUCGAAUCAUGUAUCAUUUUCCUCCUCUCCUCUCCCUUCUGCAUCCAUAAAUUUCUGCUCAGUUUUCAUUCUUUCUCCUUUUCUUUAUUCCGACAAUUCGUUCUUUGUUGUUUAAUCUUUUGUCUUUUGUCUUUGUCUCCACAAGAUCUUUGGAGAAAGGUGAAAAAGUUAUAUGGGAGGGGUAACGUCGUCAAUCGCUGCUAAAUUCGCCUUCUUCCCACCAACGCCACCGUCCUACGAGGUGGUAGCCGACGAAAGCUGCGGCGGACGUCUGUACAUACCGGAAAUCCCACGGCGCGACGACGUCGACAUCCUCAAGCUCCGCACUCGCUGCGGGAACGAGAUCGUGGCUGUUUAUGUCAAACACUCCAAAGCUAAUGCCACGAUUCUCUAUUCUCAUGGUAACGCCGCCGAUGUGGGACAAAUGUUUGAGCUUUUCGUCGAGCUUAGCAAUCGCCUUCGCGUCAAUCUCAUGGGGUAACUCUCUUUCAAGCUUCUCACAUGUUUAAAAAUUACAUCUUUCUUGCAAAGUGUGUGUGUUUGAUUCAUUACCAUUGUUGUCUGAUAAGUCAAACGAAUUUUUUAUUCCAUCAGGUAUGAUUAUUCUGGUUAUGGUCAGUCUACAGGACAGGUACUACUUUCUGUUAUAAUAAGAAAUAAACUUUAUGGAUUGUUUUGUUAUUGAUGUGUGAACUUUUAUGGUACUUGAAUCAGGCAAGCGAGUCAAACACAUAUGCUGAUAUAGAAGCAUCGUAUAAAUGCCUUAAGGAAAAGUACGGCGUGAAAGACGAUCAACUUAUAUUAUAUGGUCAAUCUGUUGGUAGUGGACCUACGGUUGAUCUAGCUUCACGCACACCUAACUUGAGAGGGGUGGUUUUACAGUGUCCUAUUCUGUCUGGGAUGAGGGUUUUGUAUCCUGUGAAAUGUACAUAUUGGUUUGACAUUUACAAGGUGAUUUACUGGAUGUUAAUUUUUUUUGUUUUGUUUAUGGUUACAUUUUAUAGCUGUUCGUUCACCUGUGCAUUUCCAUGUUCUUUUUACAGAAUAUUGACAAGAUCGGCUCCGUAGCAUGUCCUGUAUUAGUCAUCCAUGUAAGUGACAACAUCAUGUCUUUCUUUCCUUUUCAUUAUGAGAGUGAUUGAAUUAACAGCUCUCUUCAGAAGAAAGGUUGUUAUGCAUUUAUCUAGGAAGUUUUUGAAUGCAAGUUCGCUGAAGGAUAUUGUUGGUCUUUCAGGGAACUGCGGAUGAAAUAGUUGAUUAUUCUCAUGGAAGACGUCUCUGGGAACUCAGCAAAGAGAAGUAUGAGCCUUUGUGGAUAAGUGGAGGUGGACACUGCGACCUUGAACUAUAUCCAGAUUUCAUUAAACAUCUAAAGAAAUUUGUUGCAUCACUUGCCAACAAACAAGCGGCGAAGGCUGACAUAUAACGAGAUCACCGAUAUGUUUGAAAUGGGUUGCUUUCGAGGGGUUUAUAGACAAGUUGGCUGGCGAAGUCAGUAGAAAAGUGAUAAGCUUGAAAACUCCCAGAGGAGCGUUGAUAGAUCAUGUAGUAUUAUAAUGUGUCGAUGUGGAAUUUAGACUGGUAUACUACAUUUCAUGAAUAAAUGUAUUUACUGCUCAUGUGAUUUAAUAGGUUCUAGGGAUAUUUCUUUCUUUAUACAAUUUUUUUUUUUGAAUUCUAGAAAGCUGGGGUUGAAUCCCGUAUUCCCCAAACCUGAAACCAGAUUAUAGAAUAAUAAUAGUUUCGUCUAGUAGUUACUCAAACCAGAGACCUCUGAUACAAAGGUCAUGAUCCUUUCCGGUUUAUGCAAAUAUUCAUUCAACAUACUUCUGUGUAAACUGAAAUAUCCUCUGAAACACUAGAAGAUUCUGGAAGAGGAGCUGUGGCAAUUUGUAGAACAGGCCUAGGAGGGACUUCAAGAGCUUCUAGACUUCCUUCCAUCAUCUCUACCACUCUGUUCAUCGGCGGGCGAUCUGAAGGGGAAUACUGAACACACCACAGACCCACCAAUGCCAUCUUCCUUGCUAUCUCCUCUUCUUCAUUGCUGAUUACAUUCCCGGUAGGCGUUCCACUAUGUCCCUUCUCAAGAUCCUUAUAGAUCCAUUCUGGAAAGUACAUUGAGCUUGUGCUAGAUGCAGUGUCUUCAGUUGAUGUUUUAGUCCUUGCUCCUAUCAUCUCAAGAACCAACAUUCCAUAGCUAUACACAUCUGACUUGUGUGAGACUCUACCGUACACUCUUGAAAACACUUCAGGUGCAAUAUAUCCUAUCGUACCUCUUGUGUCUAGUAAUGACAAGAUGCUUUCUUUCCUCUCGCAGAGCUUAGCAAGGCCAAAGUCUGAAACCUUGGGGCAAAGAUUUCCAUCUAAGAGUACAUUUUGUGGUUUAAUGUCGAAAUGUACAAUCCUUGUUCUGCAUCCAUGGUGCAAGUACUCUAGACCACGAGCCACGCCUAAUGCGAUUCCAUAUAGUUCCAUCCAAUCCAUAUUUGAUGAUCUCUUGCUUGAGAUGAACUUAUCAAGAGAUCCAUUUUCCAAGAAUUCAUAAAUAAUCGCUCUCUUGGUACCCUCAGCACAGAAUCCUAGCAAGGUAACAAUGUUGACAUGAGAUGUCUUGCUCAUGCUUGCAACUUCGUUAACGAAGUCUUCACCAUUACCCGUUGUAUCAUUCAAGACCUUCACAGCAACCUUGCGGCCAUCACAAAGGGUUCCUCUAUAAACAAUUCCAAAUCCUCCUUUCCCAACCACUUCAGAAAAUGACUUUGUAAUUCUCUUUACUUGCGCGUAGCUAUAGUGUUCUAGUGGCAUAAGGGCCUUUAGAUUAAGUUGUCUAGGAACAUCUGAUGUCUUCCUUCUCCAUAUGAAGAGACAGAACAGAACUACGGCUAUAAGAAUAACCCCCACCAACCCGCAAGCAGAUCCGGUUCCUAGAGACCAACAAUUUUCAUAGUAAGUCUAUGCUGCUGGCAUAAAAUUUGAUCAAAUAGACCAAGAAAAGAGUAAGCACCUGCUUUUGCAGCAGUAGAAAAGCCUGCAUCAACAGGAUGAGAAAAAGAAAAGCUUAGUAUAAACUUUAAAAGAAAAAAAUUAUAUCUUACUAGAAAUGGUACUAAACACUUGAAAUCCAAUGGAGUUUUUUGUAAAUUAAUCUAAGAAUGGGAGGAAGAUCCUAUAAAAAGGGUAAGCACCUGCUUUUGAGGCAGUAGAGAUGUCUGCAUGAACAGGAUGACAAAAAGAAAAGGUCAGUCCAAACUUUAAAAGAAAACUGUAUAUUAUUCUAAGAAUGCAAGGAAAAUCCAAUCAGAAGGUGGGAUAUUGAGGAUGGGUGGAAGCACAUUAGGGAUAGAUAUCAUUUACAAAAGAAAUCUUACCUUGGUCUCCGCAGAAACUGCUAUGCGGCUUAUCUUCACAAUAGCAGACGAAACUCUUUGAGGUUUGGCUAUAUCCACAAGAGCCUCCAGAUAUUAAGCACCGUGAACAAUCAGGACUAACUUCAAGCUCGAAACCUUCUCAAGAGCCUUCUCUAAACUAUCCGGACUAGGACUCCCCUCCAUUUCGUUCAAAGCAUUUAUAGACACAGGAAUAGUUACGUCUCUUCUGCAAAUUGCCUUGUCUAUAAGGCCACUGAUCUCGUUAGGUAAAGGGGAGGACAUGUUUCUUGUCACAUAGUAACUUUUUCUAUCGCCUAUAUCAUCCUCGCAACCAAGCUCUCCAAAGAAAUUACUACCAGUAGUAGCUGGUAGUGAAAAGCUGUUGCAGUCGUAAUAUAAUGUAAGUAGAUCGUUAUCACGCGUAAUUUGAAGAACACUUUGGUCAAAUGGUGCAUCUCGAGUAUCUGCGGGACAAAGAUUUCCUAUAUAAUCCGAUCUGCCAAGACUAAUGACAGGAGAUCCAUAGCUCAUACUUAAGAUUCUGUACUUCACAGAGGAAAUGUUCAGUUCAGCGAAUUCUCCACUACAGUCGAGCUUGAAGUCGGGGUGGCCGCAGCUUUCUCUCUCUGAUCUCCAGAAAGGGUAAUAGAGUUCUUUCUGAUCGCCACACCUAAAGGGGCCACUGCAGCGUUGGUGAAGUACAUCUACUGUGAAAACACAAGAUGGGAUCACAAGCAAUAUCCAUAUGAUUCUAGACAACAUAGAUUUUGUUGGGGAACAAAAGAGAUUGAUCAUUGUUUUGGAGCCCUCGAGGUCAAAUACGAAAAUGGUGUAGAAAGAAGCUAUGAAGGCAUUGGUGAAUAUUGGUAAACGAUGAAAAGGAUAACGGAAUAGUGAUUCAAAAGAGUUUUUUCUUUUCUUUUCUUUUUUUUUUGUUUAUAGAAUAUAAAACGAGUUCCCACUAAGCACAACGCAGAGUUGGGUUCUACUUUGACGACUUCAAAAUCAGGGGCUUGGAAUUUUCUCAGAUGGACCACCAGCGCGCAGUCCCUUUCGGUCAUUGUCGUUUUUCUGCUAGAAAGAAUCUAAAGAAAUUUCGGAGAAAUGGAGUGUGGAAUAAGGCAAAGAAACCAUUUACUACUGGAACUGACUGGUGACAGAAGGAAGGUUCAAACAAUAAAUGCAGUGCUAAUAAGGCCCGGAACUUCAACUUGGUAACUAAAAACAAAAUAUAUAUAGUAACUUACUAAAAAUAAUCUCGCAUCAGAUUUCACUUAAUCAAGGAUUAUAUUUAUGGUUGCAGAAUUAUAAGUUAGAGAGUUGAAAAAAUGGUUGCAGAAUGAGAAAAAAUUGUAAAAUGAUAUCUAGAAUCAAGGGGAAUCAUCCGAUGUUUUUUUAUAUAUAAACGCAACUCUAGCUAAAGGUUGUUAAAGAAGAUGGCUGUGAAACGAUGAUGAUAUAUGAGAAACUUACUAUGAGGUAGAUGGAGUGCGUUGCAUCUUGAUGAUGAGUCAUUCUUGCAGCAGAUCUGUGUUGUAUUAUUGAAGCCGCAGAUUCCUUGAGAGGACAAACAUUGUUCACAUGUUUGUUCAUCAAUCUUCACUUUCACAUCAAACCCUUCAUGCAAAGCAUUUUCCAAAUCGGCCAGGUCGUUCAUUUUUGUAACGAAACUCCUAGGAACGUUCGCGGUGAAACAGGCAAGGCAGAAUUUGCAAUCUUCAGGGUUGUCAGACACAAACAUCAAACCUGUCUCCGGACAUUUAUAUCCCUGAAAGUGGAGACCCAAAGGGUUGCAAUUAUAGACUACUGUGACACUCUUGUAGGUUGAGGAAAGCUUGAAUAAGUUUGGAGGCAAGGUUGUGUUGGUGAAGUUAGAGGAGCAAAAAGAGCCCACAUGGUCUGUUCUGGCAAGUCUAAGAGAGUUAGAUAAUUGAUUUAUAUGUAGAACACGGAACUCUUGAUCUGAGAUGGAUAAAGAGGUGAUGUUUUUGUUGCAGUGAAGCUCCAGCGGUGAAUGACCGCAGAGUUUGUCACGAUUCCCACCCCAGAAAGGAAAACCGGCCGUGAUGUUCCCACACUGAAACAUGGUCUCACACCUUCCAAGUUCUUGUUUACUUGAAGCAAAAGGAAAAUGGUGAAAUAAAAAGAAGAUGAAGAAUAGGACCAUAGAAGAAGUGGAAAGAUAAUACAUGAUUUGCUUCAUCUAUGUAGGGUGUUUGUUUUUGGUUUGGUUUGUGUUAAGGAGAGCAGAGAUUGUGAUUUAAAAAGAGAGAACAGCAUAGAAAUGAGGUGGAAAUGAUGAAGAGCCUAAGGACCAAGCCAAAGUAAGGAUAGUGACAGAAGCGAAACUUAAGGACAGUGUUUAGUAUACGUUGAAGGACUUUUGUUAUUUGUUUCAUCUUUUAUACAAGCUAAAAAUUGAAGACUUCUCUUGCUAUUGUAUAAGACUCUAUUUAAGCAGUUAUCUAAGUUUCGAACUGCCGAUGAUUAUGGGAAUAAAGUAGAGUAUAUGUUGGAAUUGUUUUUUGAACAAAUGGAUAUAUGGCCAAUAUUCCAGUAGACUUUCCGACAAUUUGAUUGUUAGAAGGGAGAAUGAUCAGAUCUUAUAAACAUUGGAUUCUUUGUUGUGAGCAUUAUGAGAUAGUGUUUUAUAUGUCAAAAAUGGUGUUCCAAAGUGUGACUUACAAAGUUUGUAAGACUUUAAAUUUAGCUAAAUGUAAAAACUAGCAAUACACACAUUAGAUAUUGGGGUUCGAAUUUGAACUUAAAUUUCUUAAAUAAAGUUUAUAUAAUAACUUAUGAUUUAAAUCAUAUUCAUGAUUAUCUUAUAUUUGUUUAAAUAUAAAACUGUUAGAGCAGCUCUAUUGAACUAAUAAAAGUUUUUUGUUUAUAAUCCUGAUUUUUUCCCCUAAGCAUUUGAUAUGGAGAUUUGUUGGAUAGAAGCUGUGAUGGAGUCCUGUUGAUAAGAAAGAUAUCAGUUAAAACACAAUCUCUCUAAAUGGCAGAGAAACACCAGAUUGAAACAUAUGAGUUCGAGAACAUUUUGAUGCGUUAUUUCCACUACUGAAUUCUGCUCUGGAGUCUCUGGGCAAGAAUGAAAGGAUGUGAUUCCCUUCUCUUUGUAAUAUUGAGUAAAUCGCAGUUCAGAUGAAUUGUCUGAUCUCACAGACUUGACCUUUGUAUGAAACUGGUUUUCAAACUGUUGUAUUAAUGUAGUUCUUCAUGUUUGUUUGGAAGUAAGUGUGGUUUGACAUUUCUGAAAACUAAUGAAAAUUAUCGCAAAGGUAGGGUCAGUUUUUGGAAAAAGUGACCACUGCAGACUCCAAGCUUUUUCCUUAGCUUUCAGGUUCACGCAAACAUAAGUUUAAAGGGGAGUGUUUUGAUUCAUGGUUGGGUGAGAUCUACAAAAAGGAAAUAAAUAUUAACACAGAAGUGUUGUGUUUUUUCUCCUGUUUUCCUUUGGAUCAGAAAAUGCUAAUGAUAUUAUUAUUUGGUUAAUUCCUUUUUUCUGAAAACAAUGUAUUCUCUUUUUUUUUUAACACAGAAAACAAUGUGUUCAAGUGAUCCUUUUUUAUCUGAAUAACAUUUAAAUUUUACACUCACGCACAGUAGGUUUGCUCAUAAACUAAAAGCAUUUACAGUUUAUGGAGAAAAUCAUACCCUACAGUCAGUCAUUAGGGAAUGAAUUCUCCUGUAACAUACUUUUGUAUAAAUAUAAUUGUUGCAUGGUUUUGUGCUUCACGAGGUAUCGUUCUUUAUGCGACAUCCAUUGAACAUACAUCUUUGUAACUCGAUAUAUCCUCUGACAGCGUAGAAGUUUCUUGAAAUGGUGCUGCGGGAAUUUGGAAAACAGGUCUGGGAGGGACUUCAAGAGAAUCCACACUUCCUUCCAUCAUUUCUACCACUCUGUUCAUCAGCGGGCGAUCUGAUGGGGAAGGUUGAAUACACCACAAACCAACCAAUGUCAUCUUCUUUGCCAUCUCCUCUUCUUCGCUGGUAAUUACAUUCCUGUUAUGCUUUCCACUGUCUCCCUUUUCAAGAUCCAUAUAUAUCCAUUCAGGAAAGUACAUUGAACUUGCAUUUGAUUCAGAAUUUUGACCAGCUCGUUCUUUGUUCCUUGCUCCUAUCAUCUCAAGAACUAACAUUCCGUAACUAUACACAUCUGACUUGUGUGAAACUCUGCCGUACAUUCUUGAAAACAAUUCAGGAGCAAUGUACCCUAUUGUACCUCUUGUGUCCAGCAUUGACAAGAUGCUCUCUUUCUUCUCACAAAGCUUAGCAAGGCCAAAGUCUGAAACUUUGGGGCAAAGAUUGUCAUCUAAGAGUACAUUAUGUGGUUUUAUGUCGAAAUGUACAAUCCUUGUUUUGCAGCCAUGAUGCAAAUACUCUAUCCCACGAGCAACUCCUAGUGCGAUCCUGUGAAGUGUCAUCCAAUCCAUGUCCACCGAGGUCUUGUUUGAGAUGAAUUUAUCAAGAGACCCAUUUUCUAGAAAUUCAUAAAUAAUUGCUCUCUUGGAACCUUCAGAGCAGAAUCCAAGCAAGUCAACAAUGUUAACAUGAGAAGUUUUGCUCAUGCUCCCAACUUCAUUGAUGAAGUCUUCCCCAUCACUCUUUGAGUCUUUCAAAAUCUUCACUGCAACACGGCGACCGUCACAAAGGGUUCCUCUAUAAACAGUGCCAAAUCCACCUUUCCCAACCACUUCGGUAAAUAACUUUGUAAUUCUCUUUACUUGCGCAUAGCUAUAGUGUUUUAGUGGAAUAAGGGCCUUUAGAUUUUGUUGUCUUGGAUCAUCCGACGUCUUCAUGCGCUGGGUGUUGUAACAGAACCAGCUUACGGAUAAAAGAAGUAACCCCAAAAAUGUAACACCUGCCGCGAUUCCUAGAGAUACAAACACAGAUUACAUGGUUUCAUAAUAAGAUUAUGAUAAUCAAAUCAGGUUUUUCGAACGAAAAGGGGAAGGGCGAGCACCUAUUUUUACUUCAUAAUUGGGGCCUGGCCAGUCCAUGCAUCAGUAAAAUUGCAGUAAGAAAAUAUCAGUUAGACCUGAAGAAAUAACUUUUGAAUCUCCUAUUAGAAAUUAAAAAAAAAACCUGGGGAUAUCAAGAGGUUGCAUAUAAAUGGUUAUCAGAAAUUUAUUUUAAAACCACUAGGCUAAAGUCACUUUUUAUAAAUUUGUGGCCGCGAAAAUACUUAUUAUCGUGUCGGCUGGAAGCCCAUGCUUCUUCUGCUUGUGGCCAGGGCCGACACUGAACUGACGUCAAGAUAAAGAUCGUGAAGUUAAAAACUUUGCUCCAAAAAGUUUUUUGCAAUGUUUCCAACUUUAAUAACUUGAUGCAUAUAAUAUAUAUCAAAAUACAUUUGUUGUACACGCUUUAUUAGUUUUGCUUUUAAAAGAAGGUAUUUACAGUUAUAAAUGUUUUGUGCCAGUGAAGUAAUGGUUGAAAAACCUCUAUAAAUAUGUCAUUUUAAAAUAACAGCAACUUCUAUAUAUAGUCAAUACAUAUGUCCAUGUUAUAUUCUAGACUAAAUAUUUUCUCUUUUAAAAAUAUAGAAAACAGUUUGUUUAGUCUACAAGUAAAUGUUGUAGAGCAAGUAUGCAUUAUACAAAAUAAUAUAUAUUUAAAAUCCAUACGCAAAAACAUAAAAGUUGUUAUAAGCCUCUUUCUGACACAUGCACACUCCACUAUGAAUAAGAAUUUAAAAAAAACAGUAUUGUCAUCAAACUUUAUCACAAAUCCACAUUUGUACAUCUAUAAUUAUAACAUGGACAAUUAGUUAAUUUGAUACAAUACCAAAGUAAGAAUAAUCGAAAAACAACUAUACCACCGCAUACUAAUAAGUAACACAUAACAGAUAACCAAAUUCUUGAAUCUUAAAACAAAUUUCAACUCGAGCAUUUAGUGAAUAUCAAAUUAACUAAUAUCCCGCCCGUCCUACGGGCCGACCCUAGUUGUUGUAAUUCCUAUGCUUUUUUGUUAAAGCUUUUUCUAGGGGUUGGUUUCUCUUUUAGCAAACUUAUAAAAAACUCACGGAUGAAAUUUCAUACUUUGUAUCAAUUUCAAAAUAUAUGAUGUUUUGGAUCUAUACACAAUUAUUAAAAAAGUUGUUUUUUGUUAAAAAUAUUAUUAAAAUAUAAAUUAAAAGCUAUUCAACCAGAUACAAAAUAUUAUUGGUUAAUAUUUUAAUAAUGAUAAAAGUUAUUUAGAAAAAUGAAAACAUCAAAAAACUCCUUUAAACAUUAUACAUUAUGAAACAUAAGAAGUAUUGUUUAUGCUAAUUUGAAAUACUUUAUAACCACCAGAAAUCCAGAAUAAUAAUGUGGCCCCUCUAAACAAUAGCAGAUCAUACCUCUUGUGGUCUGAUUAUAUAAAGCACAUUCAACAAUCUGUGUUAACUUCAAGAGACUUCUUUAGAUUAUGCUUAUUCUGCAGUGUACGCCCGGACACAAAAACACUGACGUUUUUCUGCAGAUUACCCUGACUUCUUCUAAAAGGUCACUAAUCCCCUUGAGGUAAAAAGGCACGAGGGGGUGGUGAAAAUAAUAAUAUUUAAUUAAAAUCCUACUAAUUUAGGACCAUUCUAAGAAAAAUAUAAACAUGACCCUUAAGAAUUUGUAUGAUUCGGGGGAAAAACGAGAUAAUCAUUACAUGCUAUUUGUGUUGUGCAAAAUUGAUUUGUUGAAACUAAUCUUACAUGUAAUCACAUAAAUAAUAGAAGUGAAACUUGAAUCUAAAUGAUAAACGACUAACCUUGGACAUCCUUACACGAGGAGUUGUAAGGCUUGUCUGCACACAGGCACAUGAAAUUUCCCGAUCGUACCUCCGAACCACAAAUCCCUUUGGACUUGGUACAAGCUUGGCAAACAUCGUCUUCACUAUCGUACCUCAAAUCGAACCCUUUUUCCAAAGCCAUCUUCAAUGAUUGAUCUGAGGCAUUCGACUGCUGAAGAAGGUUCUUAGCAGACGCAAGCAUCGGAAUUUCUCCAACCAUGGUACAAUUUUGAGGAGGAUUAGUUGAUCCAAAGGCAUGAUAUGUUAUUAGAUUGCUAUUGCUUAGUUGGCAAGUAAUCGUUGACGAAGUUGUCACCGGGUUAUUACUGGGACAAUUGAAUAGAAAGAUUGUCUCGGUGUUAUGGUUUAAUGUGAACUGCAUAGCCCCCGUGAAGUUGAAAAUCUGUGGGCAACCAUCGUGUAAGAAACUCUCAUCGGCUACAGUGAUUAUCUUGUUAUCCAGAUUCGCAGAAACAACACGAAGUGUGAAAUUCUCGAUUUCUAGGGUUAAAUUUUGAUUCUCCUUGCAGGAAAGCUCGAACUCUGUUUGACCGCAGAAAUUGGGUUUGCCGAUGCUAUUACCCCAAAAUGGGUAAGUGAUGUUCGGGAACAACACCGACGGUUCCGAUCCACAUCUCAGAGGUAAUCGGCACUCCUCGUACUGUUGGUCAGCGGAGAAGCACGACGGGAAGCUAGCGACGGAGAAGACUACUAAGGUGAUGAAGAGCGGAGGAUACAUGGAAACUGGGUUUGAGGAAAUCUAACCACAGAAAAUACUUUUUCUCUGAUCUGUUGAGAGGCUAGGGACUUUUAUUUUAUUUUCAUUUCUUUUCUAUACGUAUAAAUUCUUUACUCAUCAACUUACAAAGUCAGGAUACAAUGAUGUAGACAUUUCAAGAUGAGCAUCUCUAUAAUAUUAGUUACUUUUUGUAAAUAUUAUACAUGAUUUUACUGCUCAUAUUAAAAGAAUCAAAAUAUCAUGUAUAAUUUACAAAUUGCAACAAUUUUUUUUUUUUUUAACUAUGAAUGUGCAAACUAAAUAUAUCUAAUUUUCUAUUAGCAUAAUUAUAGAAGAUAAUAUAAAUAAGAGUAUCUAUUUUAUAUAUCAUUGCUAUAAAUAAACUCAGCUAAUAAGAGUAGCCCAUCUGGUGUGAUGAUCGCUGCUCCUUCUGUUUGAAUCUCCGAUUUGUUUUCACUAAAACCUUGGAAAGUGAACUCUGUUGUUGGUGGUGUCUUCGUACGCUGAGCUUGAACAGAGAAGCUCAAAAGCUGGAUGAGUAAGAACAAAAAAGAGACCAUGAAUCUAGACAUAGGAAAUCAAGAACAGAGAGAACGGGUCAGAAGAUAAUUGGAUAUUACAGGGGACUAGGGGAGUUUGGUUUAUCCUUGGUGAUUCGAUGAUCAUGCAAGUCGUAAGAGCGAGAAGGAAUUUUCAAAGUUCUGAACAAGAAAAGUCUUUUCUUUCUUUUCAACGGUUUGUUCACAAUCACACACGCACACACACAUAUCAACGAAUUUAUUACAUUCCAAUCCGACAAGACGCUUUCAACACACUGAACCAGCUUUUCUUGUAUACUGAGAGCAUGAUUAACUCGAAGUUCUUAGGAUGAGGUUCUUAGAACCGAUUCUUAGCUUUUUUAGUUAAAAGUUAAGAAACAGUUUCUUAACUUCCGCUAAGAACUUCAUUCUAAGAACUUCGGGUUAAUUAUGGUCUAAAAUACAUUGUUCUCUAUUUGUUAAGCAAAUAACAUAAAUAACUAUAACUUUUUAUUACAUAAAUGACUUUCACGGCAAGAAGAUUCCAGUUUUCAUUUUGCAGAGCAUACCAAUACUUCGGAAGCGCUUGAACCCUCCCCAGAAUCCCAAAAAGAUUGAGAAAGCCGUGCUGCUGGAAUUUGUUGCAAGACAGGCGUAGGAGGCACUUCAAGAGCUUCAAGGCUUCCUUCCAUCAUCUCUACUACUAUGUUCAUCGGAGGGCGGUUUGAUGGGGAAGACUGUAUACACCACAAACCCACAAUUUUCAUCUUCUUUGCUAUCUCCUCUUCUUCGCUUCUGAUUCCAUACUCGGCAGGACUUACAUUGUCUCCUUGCUCGAGAUCUUGGUAUAUCCAUUCGGGAAAAUACAUCGAGCUUGCAUUCGAUGCAGAGACUUGAUCAACUAUUUCUUUCUUCCUUGCGCCUAUCAUUUCGAGUAGUAGCAUCCCAUAGCUAUACACAUCUGACUUGUGAGACACACUCCCAUACACUGGGGAGAACAUCUCUGGCGCAAUGUACCCUAUUGUCCCUCUCAUAUCUAGCAGCGAUAUUAUGCUCUCUUUUUUCUCACAGAGUUUAGCAAGUCCAAAAUCAGAAACUUUGGGGAGAAGAUUUUCAUCUAACAGCACGUUCUGAGGUUUAAUGUCGAAAUGCACGAUCCUUGUUUUGCAGCCAAAGUGCAAAUACUCUAACCCCCUAGCAACUCCUAGUGCAAUCUCAUACAGUGCCGUGAAGUCCAAAUUCAUUAUGUUGGUGUUUGAGAUGAACUUAUCAAGCGAGCCAUUCUCUAGAAAUUCAUAUAUGAUGGCUCUUUUUGAACCUUCGGAGCAGAAUCCAAGUAAGGAAACAAUGUUGACAUGAGAUGUUUGGCUCAUGCUGGCAACUUCAUUGAUGAAGUCUUUGCCAUUAUUGUCCUUUGAAUCUUUCAAGACCUUCACCGCAACCAUACGGCCGUCACAAAGGGUUCCUCUAUAAACAACUCCAAAUCCUCCUCUCCCAACCACUUCUGCAAAUGACUUUGUAAUUUUCUUCACUUGCGCAUAAGUAUAGUGUUUGAGUGGUAUAAGAGCCUUUAACUUCUCAUGUCUCCUCUCAUCUGAUGUUUUUCUCUUGCGGAAAAUUUGGACCCCGAAACAGGGGCAUAAUAAUACCACCAGCGCAAUAAUACCUGUUAGUGAACACAAACCUAAAAUAACAUAGAAAACGUUUGGUUAGUAACGUUUUCAUAAUGUAGGAAGAUCAAAAACAGUUAUAAAUAUCUAUCUGGGAAGCGAAACUAACCUACGAGAAUAAUGAUCACAAUAACUGCAGAACCAUAAAAUAAAAUUUGUCAGCAUAGAACAAAACUUUUGAAAGGAAAAGAGCAAUUGGAGAAAAACAAUGGUUUAGAGGGAGGAUAAAAAAAAGUCAUUCGAAGAAGGUUACGCACCUAUGCCCUCUAUAAGAUCAGCUCCUGCAUAAAUUAAAUGGAUACAAAAGAAAGUCAGUUUGAGCUGGAGACAGAGCUCUGAACACAAACGAAAAAACAAAAACUUGAAACUAAAGGAAGGUUUGUAAAUAAUCUGAUCAAAAGGUGGGUGGGCGAUUGUGGAAGAGAAAAAGAGUUGGUUCUUGGCGAAGGACAUUAGGAAACAAGACCAUGAAUGAAAGAAAACUUACGGUUGUGUGUCCGGCAUGAACUAUUACGCGGUCCAUCUUUGCAAUAACAGACAAAAGCGCUUGAGGUCUGAUUAUAUCCACAAGCACCGUCAGAGCCUUUGCACCUCUCACAAUCCGAGUUAAUAUAAAGUUUGAAACCUUGUUCAAUAGCCUUCUUUAGAUUAUAUGUAUUCGGACUCCUCUGCAGCGUCUCCAGUGCAGAUCCAGAUGCAGGAAUACUGACAUUUCUUUUACACAUUCCCCUGAAGUUCUCUAAAAGACUUCUAAUAUCGUGAAGUGAAGGGGACGUGAGGUUUUUUGUCACAUAGUAAUUUCUUCUGCCAUUCCCAGAAAGAAGCUCUCCAACAUAAUAACUAUGGGGGAUAAGUGGUGAGAAGUUUGGGCAGUCAUAAUAAAUUGUUACAAGCUCAGUGUUAUGGGUGAAGGAAACAACAUUUUCAUUGAACUGCGCAUUCAGUGGGUUUCUGGGAUAAAGAUUAUCAAUAUAAUCUGUUCUUAUGAGUGUUGUCUCAUAGUACCUACUAUCUAUGAUUCUGAACUUCACAGUGGAAAUGUUGAGCUCUGCAAAAUCUCCGCUACAGUUGAGCUCGAACUCUGGGUGGCCACAUGCUUUUCUACCAGGUUUCCAGAAAGGAUAAUUCAGAUGUACCUGAUCGCAACAGCUAAACGUCGUACUGCAGAGUUUGUAAAGCUCACCAGCUGAUAAAAAAUAAGAUGGGUUCAAAAACAGCAUCAAUAUUAUUUAUUUACGCCAAAAAAAUUGGUUAUGAGACUGAGAUUGGUUGAUCAUUAGUUCCUUAUGUUGUCCUUUUUCUUCGAGGUCAGGAAAAUGAUUACGGAUUAGGUAAACAUGUGCUUGAGAAAAUUGAUGCUAACUUACCACUUGAUACACCAGGAAGAUGGCUGAAAGAGGAGAAGAUGGCAAAUAAUAUCAAACAAAAACUAAAGGGAUAGUUCAUUCUUGAAAAGUGUGUAUUCUGUCUUUGGUUACUGUUAAAGAGGAGCGGAGCAAGUGGUUUAACGCGAGAGAGACCAAAUAUGAAAGGGAAGAGCUUUUCUAUUCGCAUGGCUUUCUUAAUUAGGCUUUUCAUUUGGUGCUAAUCAUUUUUCCGUUGGACACUGUUAAUAUGACUAAUACGUUGCUGCUGAAGUAGAACAACAACAAAAGAGUGGUAUUGGUUAUUCUAAAACUCAUUUUCUACUUUAAUGGGAGUAAGAGAGACUUGUCCACACAACUAUACCACACUAUCUCUUGUCUUCUAAAAUUGUUUACUUUUACAACCAAAGACUUUUCAGUUAGGAGACUGGAAACCUUAUUAAUUCAAUAAUCUUAAAAACCACAUCUUCUGUCUAAGGUAAACAUACAUAAGUCACAUCUCCAUAGUAAGCUGAAAUUUAGUCUCUUUUGGUUGUGACGUUGAAAACCACAUCUUCUGUCUUUCAGCUGUGUCUAUUCUCUCUUUAAAUAAGGUCAAAGAAAAAAUAAUUACUAAUUGUUAGUCUUAUGAACUUUUGACUAUCGUUACAAUGCUAAAGGUGGACACAGAACUAGGGGAAUAUGUGAACCGUAGGCCGUGCUUGUUUGGAGGUUAGAUGGUAUCAAUUUAAUUGUUAGUUAAACCUAUAAAACAUAAGUUUAUUACCGUCUCCUUAUUGCGAUUUAAAUGAUAAAUUGUUGGAUUAAUCACAUGAUUGAUCUGAACUUGAGCAAUUUAAGAUAACACCACUCAACAAACUAAUUUAACAUAUGUUUUCACUUUUUUCGAAAUAUAGACAUUAUAUGACAUUUCUCAGAUACAUGUAUCGCUGCUUCUGCGCUUUGAUAAAUUUCAAAGGGCUACAGAUAUCAAACAUUCUGCUUAAACCAAACUAUCUGAAAGCGUUAGAGAUUCCUGAAGAGCUGCCGUGGGAAUUUGCUGCAAGACAGGCCUUGGAGGCACUUCAAGAGCUUCAAGACUUCCUUCCAUCAUCUCUACGACUCUGUUCAUUGGUGGCCGAUCUAAUGGGGAAGGCUGAAUACACCACAAACCCACCAAUGCCAUCUUCUUUGCUACCUCCUCUUCCUCAUUGUUGAUUCCGUCCUCAAUAAGCCUUCUAGGCUUUCCUAAUUCAAGAUCCCUAUAUACCCAUUCAGGAAAGUAUAUUGAACUUGUGUUAGAAGCAGAGUCUUGAUGAGCGCUUUCUUUGUUCCUUGCACCAAUCAUCUCAAGAACUAACAUUCCAUAGCUAUAAACAUCUGACUUGUAAGACACGCUCCCAUAAACUCUUGAAAUCAUUUCUGGUGCAAUGUACCCUACUGCACCUCUUGUGUCCAGCAAUGACAAGACACUCUCUUUCUUCUCACAGAGCUUAGCAAGCCCAAAGUCCGAAACUUUGGGGCAAAAGUUUUCAUCUAAGAGUACAUUUUGUGGUUUGAUGUCGAAAUGUACAAUCCUUGUUUUGCAGCCAUGAUGCAAGUACUCCAGACCACGGGCAACUCCUAACGCAAUUUGAUACAAUGUCGCCCAAUCCAAAUUCACCGAGGACUUGUCUGAGAUGAAUUUAUCAAGAGAUCCAUUUCCCAAAAAUUCAUAUAUAAUUGCUCGUUUGGAACCUUCAGAGCAGAAACCAAGCAAGGUAACAAUGUUGAGAUGAGAAGUUUGGCUCAUGCUUGCAACUUCAUUGGUGAAAUCUUCACCAUUACCCUUUGAAUCUUUCAAGAGUUUCACCGCAACCAUACGGCCAUCAGAAAGAGUUCCUCUAUAAACAAUUCCAAAUCCGCCUCUCCCGACCACUUCCGCAAAUGACUUUGUAAUUCUUUUCACCUGUGCAUAAGUGUAGUGUUUGAGUGGAAUGAGGGACUUCAGGUUCUGUUGUCUCAGACGUAAUUCUUUCAUCCGUAGAUAAUGACGAAAGAAUAAUAAUAAGAUCACGAACAGAACAACGCCUGCUAUCGAACCCGCAACUAGAAAUACAGAGAAAACUUGGAUUAAAUAACUUCAUUUUUACUAUAUGUAUCGGAUAUAGUUCAAAAUGUAUGCUCCCAGUGAACUAACCUUUGAGAAUUACAUUGAUCCAAGAUCCUGUUCAACCGUUCAGCAAUUAAAAUUUAGUCAGAAUGCAACUAAACUUGAUCUCGAAAUAAAAGUACGAAAAACAAAGUUCAAAAUCUAUCUUCCAAUCAAACUAACCUUUGUGGAUUGCGUUGACCAAAGACCCUGUUCAACCGUUCAAAAUAUUAGAAUGGAACCAAACUUGAUGUCGAAGAGAAAGAAAAGUAAAAGAACAAAAUCAGACAAGACAAUGGUUUACCAUAACAGUUAUGUCCAUGAGUCCCAUCGCCACAAUAGCAGACGAAUCCGCGAUUAUAUCCACAAGCACCGUUGGAUUCUAAGCACACUAAGCAGUCUUGUUUAAUUUCAAGAUUGAAACCCUUUUCAAGAGACUUGUUUGGAUUAUCUGAACGCAGACUGGAUAACGUCGAGUCACAAACAGGUAUACUGACUUCCUUUUUGCAAUUUUUCUCCAAGUCUUUAGUGCCAUCCCUCAUGUAGAGCAAAGCAGACGAGGUGUUUUUCACAAAGCAGUAGUUUCUUAGCCCUUCCAUACCACCCUCACAUUGAAAAUCUGUAACGUAAUUGUAAACUAGGCUAUUAGAAAUAUUUGAUGGUAAGUCCCGGCAGCCAUAUAAAAUUGUUAGCAGCUUGGUGCCGGGAUCGAAUUGAAGGGCGCUUUGGUUGAAUUGUUCAUUUCGUGGAUUUGAGGGACAAAGAUUGUCGGUAUAAUCCAUUCUGGCGAGAGUUAUGUAAUGUAAGUCAUAGUUUGCCAUUAAGAUUCUGAACUUCACGGAGGAGAGAGUCAGCUCUGCGAAUCCACUGCUGCAAUUGAGCAUGAAGCCGGGGUAGCCGCACUCUUCUCUCUCAGGUAUCCAGAAAGGGUACAAUAGAUCCUUCUGAUCGCCACAGCUAAACGGUUGGCUGCAUAGUUUGUAACGACCAUCAUUUGUGAAACUAAGGUUUGGAGGUAGUGGUGGCCCAGCGACAUAAUCAUCUGUGAAAACUGGGCUUGGAGCUGGGCUUGGAGCUGGGGCUGGAGAUAAAGGAUUCACCGUUUGUAAGAGACCGCGAGGUAUAACAGGGGCCAUGUACGGUAGAGUUUCUUUCGUUCCCAGACAUCGAUUCCCUGCAGAAACAAAGUUAGGUGUUGAUGUUAAAAACUCUGUGUUGUGAAACCUUUGGUAGUUCAACUUUGAGGACACUUACUUUUGUAUUUUGAAGCGGUAAGAGGAAACUCUGUGAUGGUUCCAUUGAUACCGGCUCCAGUGAUAUAUGAGUUUAUCUCAACUGUUGCAUCAGAUACAAACUCAUUCUGAAACAGUUCCACAUAGACCAGGAGCUUAGACUUCUGCAGCCUCUCCACUACAUUGGUUUUCCCAGUGACAAAUGAAUCAUCACAUAAGGGAAGGACUGAUGGUUUUAUGAUGACAACAGCGUCAGCGAAUUUCUUUAUGUCUUCGAUAGCAGAGUCACUAAUAUCAUCAAUUGUUUUUUCAACUUUGUAGACAGUCUCAUACUUGCUCUGCUUUUUGAUGUCAACUAAAACCGAGCUGUUCCUCGACUGUAUCAUGACUCUUUUCGUGGUCGUUCCAUUGCUGUAACCAGCUUCCGUGAGUGUAUCAAGAACCGCUUUAGCAAGGUCGAGACCUUUCUUCUCUCUAAGGUACACUGCAUUCUGAAGGACACAAAAAUAAAUAAUGGCUUGCCAUUAGAAGACGUCACAGUCUGAUUGCUAAAAUCUUAAGAGUAGCUGAAUACGCCUAAGCAUUUUACCCGGAACUGAAAACCUAACCCGAAACCGACCUGAAAAAACAGGUUCGGUUCGGAUCUGGAUAAAGGCAAAUUAACAUGCUGGAUAUUGUUCAGGACAUGCAGGUACAAGUUCGCGUUCGGUUCUCUCCGAGACCCGAUUGGAUACCCGUAAUUUCAAAAUAUUAUUGUAUAUAUUAGGUAUAUUAGGUGUUUUGGUUUAUUUUUGGUACUAGGUGUUUUCUUACACCAUGUGCAAUAAUAACCUUUUAAAUUUUAAUUAUAUUUAAAAAUAAAAUUUAUUAAUAUUAUAGAUUUUAUUUUUUUUACCAAUAUUUUAAUAUAAUUUUGAUUUAAUUAAACAUAAAAUUAAGAUAAAAUAUUUUUUUUAACUAUAUUUAAGAACAUAUAUGUAUAUCUUUAAAAUGAUAAUGUUAGAUAGAUUUUUUAUAUAUUUAUUUUGGUUAAGUAUAUUAAAUCAACUUGGAAAAAAAUUAAAAAAAAAAAUAUAUAAAUUGUAGAGACAAUGUGUGGAAUAUUCCCAAUUAAGGGGUAAAUUUGCUGAAUGGCCAUAAUUAUGGAUAAUCCAAAAAGGAGUAACAAAUUCGUAAAAGCUUCAAAUCCAACAAAACUAAGAUACUCAAACAUCAAACUUAAGGUAAAAACAUUAUGCAGAGACAAUAAGAAAGAUAGUUCAAUGUUGCAAACACAAAGUCUGAGAUUAAAAAAAAACAAAGCAUAGAGUCUUAGUAAUCAUAAAACCACGAUUCAACACAUCCUAGCCACAUCUGGCUCGCUUGGGGUCUUCUGCCUCGACCUUAUCAGCAGCCCUCUUCACAAUCCCAACGCAUGUGGAAGGUUCACCAUCAGCAACUCCAUUCUGCAGAGUUCCUUGGGCUUCAGCUUCUUGAUCUUCUGGGGUGAGGACCUCUGUCACAGUCAAAGCUUGGGUCUUGCCUGUCAAAUUGUGAUCUGAUACCAGAUAAUAAGAUUAACAUUAUGGGUGUCAAAAGAAUCAGAAUAAAAAAAAUAAGAGAUUUAUGUUGAAUUAGAAGAUGAUUUGAAGAAUUUGUACGAAAGAUAAAGAGAUUAGAACACAUAAAAUAGACAAGAGAGAGAGAUAUAGAUAAGGGUAUUAUAGUCACUAAAAUAUUAAAUAGAAACAAUGUUAUAUGACAAAUUACAUGGGUUUCUGGGUGCAUCUACGCUAAUUACUCUAAAUUGUACAAUUAUCAAAAAUUAAAAAAUAAACAGUAUUCAUAAAAUUUGUAGAUAUAUAAAAGAAACUCAUGAUUAAAAAUUUAUAAUUUUUUAAUAAAGUUGUUGAAAAUUUUGAAAAUAAUUAUAAAGAAUUUGUAUAAUUAUAAAAAUAAAAUUAAAUAAUAUUUCAAAAUAUAUGAAGUCAUAUUUGAAUAUAUUUAUUUUAGCGAUGAUGUAUGAAUUAUUACAUUAUUUUAAAAAGUUUACCAAAAAUAUAAAUCAACAUUAAAUAUAAUGUAUGAGUUAAAACUAUAUUCUAAAAAAAUUAUCAAAAAUAUAAAUUAAUAUUAAAAUAAUUAUCCAUGUCAUAUUUAGUCAUAAGCCAUGUCAUAAAUAUUAGUAGUAGUCAUGUCAUAUUUUUCUGAAAGUGAUUGUGGAGAGUAUAUGUGUCAAAUCACUUCUCAAAUAAUGUUUGGGGGAUUACAUAUAUUUUUAAAAAGUUGGGUUUUAGGUAUUCGGUUUGUUCAAGCAAAAAUUCAGAUUUUUUGAAAUAUAGUUUGGGUAUUUGGGUACUUUGGAUAAUUUUUGGUAAACUUUUGAAUAUGUUUUGGGUAUUUACAUUUUUUGGGUUUUUGGGUCCAGUUCCGAUAAUUCGGAUCUAGUUCGGGUCCAAAAUAUCCAAACCAAUGUGAAUCUGGAAUGUGCCCUAAAAUUAUAGGUUUUUAAACAGGUUUUCAAAAUCAUCAUCCGAACCGACCCGGAUCUAACAUGAACCGAUUCGGAACCGAACAAGAAAAACUAAAAAUACCUAUUGGAUCCAAAUUUGCUAUAUUGAAGGACCCUGACCCGACAUGAAUGCUAGAACUCACCUCUACACUGAUCAAAAUACCAGAGAGAGAAGUGGAGUUCUUUGCCAAGUUCAGAAAUUCAAAGAGUGACAUAAUCCUCCCAGAAUCUCUCUCAUUCGGAUUCCUGUAAGGGUUUGAAAUCGCAGCUGCACAAAAAAUGGGAGAAUAGUUAUGGUAAUGUAAAUCUCUCAAGUAGUCCGUAGUUUUAUCUUAUCAUAUUACGUUAGGAUAAUGUAAAAUUGAUAAGGAAAUAGAUAUUUGAGAAACUUACGAGUCAAGUUGUAGAUCUCAGGCCAUGUGAGACUAAAAGUGUAUAUUCCAGCAUGUGAGCUAAUCUCAGGAAUAAUUGUUGAACGGUUUCUAAGAGGAGUCUGGGCGGCCAUUGUGCUUUUCUCGAGAUCAAUGGAAUUUGAGCAAAAGGGUUUUCCUUCCCUGGACAUUUGGACCGAGCAGUCGAUAACAUCAGCUCCAUCUUUGAUUGCCUUAUCAUAUGCCAGAUUUGUACAUCCAGGAUAGUCCCCACUCGCUCCAUGUUUUGAUAUAACAAGAAAAUCCACUGAGACACGAACCAUUUGGUAGAUGAUAAAGUCAACUAUAGGAUUAUUUUUCAAUUAUAAAGAAAAUAAUUAUGCAAAUAAGUACUCUCUUUUUUUUGUCAAUUAUGCAAAUAUUUACUCUUACUACCUUGUUUUGUAGCGUUUCUGCCAAUGUGGGAGAAGCAGUCUGAGGAAAAUAUGAAAAAAAAUAAUUGCAUAAAACACAAGCUUAGUGUCCAGAAAAAAACUCUCGAAGAAAAUAUGCUUACCAAUUGAUGCAGAUGCAGUUAUGGGAAAAUCAGAGAGCACACCAUCGACAGAGAAAUCACCAUUGUCCAUAAAAGAUAGAUACUCAGACACUGGAUCGAAACUGUAGUUAUAUGCAAUAUCAGCAUCAUUGGAAAAACCUGACACAUAUACUUGUAAUCCAGCUUUAUGAGCAUCGUGAACUAAGGAUGUAGGAGGAAGCAAGUACUGCUUGUCAUCCAGUGGCAAUAUGUACGAUUUCGGAACGAGAAUUCCUGAAGCAAACGUCUUGACAUAAGUUAGGUUACUCAAGAUAGAACCAUAUGUUCGCUUUGUUGUCGGCUCAAAAUCUUCUUUUCCAAGAAAUUUGAACACAAAACUUGGUCCGUUACGCCCGAAAUGGCCGGUAAGUUUCUGAAAGAAAUUCAGUUCAGGGGAAGAGAUGUAGUCAAUGGAAACAGUUCUUGAAGCUGAUACCAGAAAGCUGCUCAUGCUCAGAUUAUGUUGAGCAUAGAAUGCAUCGUGCUGAACAUUUAACCAAAUACUUUCUGGUUUUAUCUGCGCUGUUACAUCUUGGACCGUUAAAAUUGAGAAUCCAUUUCCAUCAAUUUUUCCUGUCUGUGAUAAUAUUCCUUGGAUCACUGCAAACAUGUAAAAGAAAAAAAAGAGAGCCAUUUGUGAGAAGCAACAUGCAAUUUUUUUCAGACAGUAACUGAAACACUUACAAGAAACAUUCUUGAGAUCUCUCAAGGAGAAAUCAAUGGUGAACCAACCGUUAGUAGGGACUCCGUUAACCAGAUAAGAUUUUCGGCGUUUUGGGUAGACACUUUCAAUAGUUGAGUGAUUGUUCAGCUUUAAAUCAGGGUAGCAAAUGCCAAAGUCAUCUUUGGUUAACUGAACAUCACACCAUAGAACAGCACCGGGUACACUUGUCUGCAUUGCGAGCUUAUAAGCAUCAAGAAUCGAGUCUGGAAACAAUCCAGAAAACCCACCACUAGCAAUUACAAGAGGAGCAUCACCUGGUGAAAAAAACAAAAAGUUAUUUUAAUAAAAGAGAUUAUCCCAACUUAUACUACACAUCUAUAUAAAGAAAGAAAGUCCUUUUAUUUCUCGGAAAAUCAUCCAUUAAGGAAAUAAACAGAAAAGUGAGUGCACUCUUACCACUGAGUGUCUGCCAUGGACUUCUAGAUCUUUUAGCAUUUGUUUGAGCAGCAAACAGCUGAAUCAGAACAAGACCAUAGAGUAAAAUUGUCUAAGCUUGCAUUGUCGGAUUACUUGCCGGAAGUUAACUUCACAACCUUCUUUCUUCUCGGGAAUUUACACCAUAUAGAUAGGAAAACAACAAUAGUCGACUUUUAUGCAUAAGCUUUUCUUUAAUAAAUGGUUUUAUUAGUUGACUCUUGAAGUCGUCUUCAUUUUUUUUAAAUAAUACUAGAUCUUUUAUCCGCGCUACGCGCGGAUUGUUUGGUAUAAUUAAAUUUUUAUUUAAUUAAUUAAUUUAUAUUUAUUUUAAUAAUUUAUAUUGUAAUUUGUAAAGUGAUUUUUUGCCUCUGAACUCUCAUACUUAAAUUUAAAUCAGCUUAAAGAUUUAUUAUCCUUAAUAAAUAAAUAGAUCUGUUAGUAUAUAAUUAACAAUUAAUUAAAAAGAAAUUUUAUUGAUUUGAGAAUUAUCAUUGUCUUAAAAUAAUUUAUUUUUUGUUAUAAAAUAUUCAUAUCUUAAAUAAAUAAUUAGGUUUGUUAUUAUAUUAUCGUAAAUUAUAAUGAAUUGUUAUUUGGUAAUCAUCAUUAUAUAAAAAUAAUUUAUAUUGUGUUGUCCAAAAUAAUAGUUUACAUCAUAAUUUUUUAAAACAAAAGAGAUAUAUCUCCUUAUAUAUAUUGUAUAUAAUUUUAUAUAUACAUAAGUGUUUUUAAUAUUCUUACACAAUAAAAGUAUAAUUUUAUUAUAAUAAAUAUUUUUGUGAUAUGUAAAAAAUUGAUAUUCAUUUUUUUACUAAAUAUUUCAAAUGCAUGAGUAUUUUUAAAUUGUAUUUUAUGUGAUAAAAUAAUUGUUCUUUGAUAAAAAACCCUGUAUGUUUGAUUUAAUAUUAAAUAUUCUGAACAUAUGUAAAUAAUUUAUUCUAGUGAUAUUUGAAUUGAUAAUAUAUUUAUUUAUAUGCAAUUAUUGUGUUUACAAUCAGUGUACCAUUGCAACCAAACUCUUUCUUGAGGUCCUUAAGUAUCUUGCUGUAAAAAAAAUAUGAACCUAAUAAUGGAAUCAGUUGAACCUCCUAGACCAACAGUCUAAGCCAUGUUAAAUUUGCAUGAUGCUACGUGGUUGCUCAAAACCAAAACCUUUAAUGAUUAGAACACAAUUUUUUCUUAAAAAAUCUAUUCGUGAAUGCAUUUGUAAAUGUAAACUGCAAGACUUAAAACAACCAAAUUCGUAAAAGCUUCAAAUCCAACAAAACUAAGAUACUCAAACAUCAAACUUAAGGUAAAAACAUUAUGCAGAGACAAUAAGAAAGAUAGUUCAAUGUUGCAAACACAAAGUCUGAGAUUAAAAAAAAACAAAGCAUAGAGUCUUAGUAAUCAUAAAACCACGAUUCAACACAUCCUAGCCACAUCUGGCUCGCUUGGGGUCUUCUGCCUCGACCUUAUCAGCAGCCCUCUUCACUAUCCCAGCGCAUGUGGAAGGAUCACCAUCAGCAAUUCCAUUCUGCAGAGUUCCUUGGGCUUCAGCUUCUUGAUCUUCUGGGGUGAGAACCUUUGUCACAGUCAAAGCUUGGGUCUUGCCUGUCAAAUUGUGAUAUGAUACUUUCACAAUGAAUUUUCGAGUCUGUCCAAUGGUAUCGAUAAGAGCCUGAGGUACCGGAACCAAGUGGUCAUCUUCUACAUUCUCAUUAGCCUAAUAUACAUUAAACAACUGUCACUAUAUAUAUCUAGCUAUCUUGGAGAAUAUAGAUUCAAAUAACAUAAGCACACAGGGUUGUAAUUACCUCGAAAUAACUUGCAACCAACUCUGAAGCUUUUCUUCCGGAUAACUCAUGUCCAGCAUCACCGAGGAGCACAAAAGACGCCUGAUCCUCAUUAUCAUACACAUAGAUCUUGGCCAGGUACCUGUGUCAUGUGCAGAGUUAUAAUGAGUGCAUUAAAGUAUAAGAAUAAGUACAGCUGAGUCACUUACUGUGGAACACCAACAAUGUCGGGUUUCCCACAUUUUUUACACAUAAGGGUGGUAGGCCCUUUGGUUGCCUUAGUGUGGCACACACCACAUCCUAUGUAAUACCAGGAUGAACCGUGCACCACAUCAGCAACAGUUGCUAUGCACUCAAACCAAGCAACCUGCAAGAUGCGAAACAAUUAAUUAAGAGAUUAAGACUAUCAUAUUGAAGGCGUUAAUCAUUGAUAUUGUAUAACCUUGGCAUCUUCCUGCUGAAUAUAGAAUAAGAGCUCGCCUAUGGUCAUUGUCUCAGUCUUAGUGACAACGUCUGCGUUAACUCUGUUGGCAACAGAUAAGUUCGCGUUCAUCCUGAAGCCAACACCCAAACAUCAAAUACAAUGUGGAAUACAACGGCCAAAAUUUAAAUAUAGAAUGCUUACCAAGUGAGAUACUCUUCGGUUAUUUGAACAUCUUUGUCCAAGAAAACACGUGAUGGCGUCAUAGAAAUUAAAUCAGAAAUGCUAGACAGGAAAUCAUAGAAACGCAUCAACAACAAAAUUAUAGUUACUGUACUAUCAAUAAAAGCAAACACUUGCUAUAAAUUAUCUAAAAUGUUCAUCAGUCAAAGUUUUAAUGGAAUAUGUUCUCUUUUUUUAUUAGCAAAACUAAACUGCCAAAGUGAGACCAAGAAACCAAAAUCAUAAAUUAUUUUCUAAUCAUAAAGUCUCUGCCAAAGUAAAGUCUAGAACGAUAAGUUUCAAUUUCUAAACUAAACUGUAAUCAAGAUUUUGGGUUAUACCUCUUGGUCGAUGAGAAGCAUCUCGAGACCGAUAAGCACCUUUGACACAACAUUUCGAGCUUCCCAAAAAUGGAUCAACCGGAACCUCAACUCGCCGUCAUGAGGUCCGUAUUUCACAUCUUUGAAAGCCACCACUUCGGCCGAGACAAUAGCUUUUCCCCUGACGCGGGAAGAGACAGCAGAUUUGCCUCUAACACCUGAGGAGACACCAGCCUUCGUGCUGUGAAUGAUCGCACCUGCAUAGGAAUACGAACGUUACCAUCAUCAAAAAAGGGAACUAAAAAUCCACAAUUUCACAUGCGUUUCUAUUUACUCUAGUAUAAAAAUUAUCUACUAAAAACAAUUAUUUUGCUCAUCUCAUUGUUUUAAACCUCAUAGCUUCAGAUUCUCUAUUUUUUAUACUGGUAAUCAGACGGACACUAUAAUCUCAUAAUGAAACGAUAAGGGUUCUUACCAUUGGGGUUCUUCGACAUAGGUACGCCGAUCAAGACGCCGGAAGAGACAGCAGUUUUGCCGCUGAGUUUGGUCAGACCGGAAGUGACCGACGCUUCGCCUUUGUCUCGCUUCGAGUGGAGAUCGCCUAUUGAGUGGUUGGAUGAGACAUGGGGUGUUCCGAUGGGUUUGAUCGGUCCGGGAGAGGAGUCAGACUCAACGCCUUUUGGUUUCUCGGAGAUGGAACUUCCGUUGGAACUCAUUGCAACUAAGCUUAAUCGGAAUAAGACUCGUAUCAAGAGUUGUAUAAACAAAAGAAGGAGAAAAUGCGGAUUAAGAGUUAUAUAAACAAAAUCUGAAGGAGAAAAGCAAAACGAAUCCAUAAAUGAGAGUAAAGAGAGAACGGAGUGGAGUUGUAUUGAUUGUUUAGGGUCAGAUCGUGAAACGGAUCAAAGAAGAGGAAGAGCAAAAGGGAUUAGGAAUCGACAAAGGAGAUGAAGAAUCGACAAAGGGACGAAGAUUCGAUUUAGGUUAAUAGGAUUUGAGAGACGCGUAAGGGAGAGGUCGAAAUGGUUUGGUCGCUGGCUGGGUCUGUCUAUGGUCUAAUGGGUUGGGUUCUAUUGUUUUAAAAAUUAUGGUAAGUCGAAGCCCAAGAAAAUCAACACAUAUUUGACAUGGCAAAAACACCCUCUCUAAUUGGUUGAUUAAAAUUGCCUACGUGGACAGCUUGGUUAAGGAGGAUAUCUCCCUUUUAUUACUUAUAUCUGAUUCUAUGAAAUCUUCAGUGGGACAUGAGAGAGACUUGUUGGCAAACCUAAUCCACACUAUUGUAAAAUAUAGAGUACAAAACAACUCGUAUUAAGCCAAAACGAAUGACUAAUAAAACUCAGACGCCAGUGCAUGUGAUUAUUUCGUAGCCCAUUGAUAAAAUUACGUGUACAGCAAGAAACUACAAAUUUUGUACUUGUACAAUAAAUUUGGACAGGAAGCCUUAAAGUACAUGACUUGUCUAAUCUAAGGCAAUUAUAGUUUUGGUAGUCAGACCAUAUGCUGGGUCCAUUAUGAUACCUUCCGGUUUUCGAAAAUCUGGUGGGUGAAGAGGCUUCAAGUUUCUCUUUAACUGUAAAUACUUAUUGAGUAGAGAGUUUAAUACAUAAGCUUUUCUUUAAUAGCUUUAUUACUGAACUCUUGAAGUCGUCUCUUCAUUAUUUUUUUAAUAACCCAUUGAUAUAAUUAGUUGUACAGCAAGAAACGAUAAAUUUUGCACUUAUGCAAUAUAUUUGGACAGGAAAGCAAUAUAUUACAUGACUUUUCUAGUCUAAGGAAAUUAUAGUUUUGGCAAUCAGACCAUAUGCUCGCUUCAUUAUGAUACCUUCCAGUUUUCGAAUAUCUGGUGGAUACUUCAUUAAGAUACUUUCCAGUUUUAACUUGAGUCUUUGACGUUGCCGGUUGAAAAUCUAAUCAAAUUGCUGACUUUUCUAGUCUUUUAGCUUCCCCAUGGUGGAUAAGUUAAACGUAUAAAGACAAACGAUUUUGGAGAUAGUAUGGUAUAGGUUUGCCAACACGUCCUUCUCAUAUAACCGUGAAGAUUUCCCGGAAGAACUGGCUUUUAUGUAAUAUCAACAAAGGUUUGGAAAAAGUAACUAAAACGAAGGGCAGAGGUUAUUUUUAUAGCUGCUGAUCGGGUAAAUGACCAAUACGAUUCAUUUGUUUUGGGUUUUCUACUUUCUUAUUCAUAUUAAAAAGAAAAAAAAAGAAAAUUUGUGUUUAUUAAAAUAUUGAAGGAGGAGACGACUUCCAGAGUCAACUAAAAAGCCAUUUUAUUAGAAAAAAAAACUCUUGAUGCUCUGUAUUUGGACCAAUGCUUAGGCAACAUUGUUCUAUCUGUGGCUUGUGAAAACAAAGAAGUUACCAGUGACUUCCCGGAUUGGUAAUCCAACAAUGCGAGCUUCAACAGUUCUACUCAAUAGUAUUGUUCUGAUUCAGUUGUUUGCGGCUCAAAUUGAUGCUAAAGGAUCAAAAAGUCCAUGGCAGACUUUCAGUGGUUAGACAUCUCUCACUUUCUAUUUA